GACGAACGCUGGCGGCGUGCUUAACACAUGCAAGUCGAGCGGUAAGGCCCUUUCGGGGGUACACGAGCGGCGAACGGGUGAGUAACACGUGGGUGACCUGCCCUCAGCUCUGGGAUAGGCCUGGGAAACUGGGUCUAAUACUGGAUAUGACUCCACGGUGCAUGUCGUGGGGUGGAAAGCCUUGUGCGGCUGAGGAUGGGCCCGCGGCCUAUCAGCUUGUUGGUGGGGUGAUGGCCUACCAAGGCGACGACGGGUAGCCGGCCUGAGAGGGCGACCGGCCACACUGGGACUGAGACACGGCCCAGACUCCUACGGGAGGCAGCAGUGGGGAAUCUUGCGCAAUGGGCGAAAGCCUGACGCAGCGACGCCGCGUGAGGGAUGACGGCCUGGU
Molecule: ribosomal RNA, 391 nt
Filed under: uncultured bacterium
Lineage: Bacteria
Description: bacterial SSU rRNA
Rfam family: Bacterial small subunit ribosomal RNA
Source: RNAcentral